This is a long non-coding RNA of Rhipicephalus microplus (southern cattle tick), 405 nucleotides long. The record is from RefSeq and is a predicted model, not a curated record. Lineage: Eukaryota; Metazoa; Arthropoda; Arachnida; Ixodida; Ixodidae.
UUUCAGGUCAGUUAGCUCAAGGAGGGCCCCCAUAUACCAUUCUAUCCAAGAUUCGGGCUGGAACUGCAACAGCCUCCUCUGGAAAUCUUGUCUCAUAAUAACGGAGAAGAACUACGCAGUCUUCUCGUGCCCAGCUCUCCAAAGGUUGGAAAGAAAUGAGGUGAAUGCCAUGGCCCAUGCAUGAACUUUCUGAGCAGCGAUUUUAGCCAUCUGUGCCGAGUUCCAAGUCUCUACGCCUUAAGAAGAUUGCAAACCGACAUUCGCAAAGGUACUUGCUCGGGCUACUGGUACUCCAUUGAGUUGCUAUGUAGCACAAGUGUGCUAUAUAUCUGCGUGGACGCACGGUUACCCUAUAUCAUACAUUUCAUGUCUUUCUUUAUUAAAAAAUUCAGUUGAAAAUUGAAA